Molecule: long non-coding RNA, 535 nt
Organism: Drosophila serrata
Lineage: Eukaryota; Metazoa; Arthropoda; Insecta; Diptera; Drosophilidae
Source: RefSeq, a predicted model, not a curated record
GAGGCCGAUUCGGUGGAGCACUGCUGUGGACCCGGAAAACUGCGCAAUGUCCAACUGUAACCGGUAUGUUGAGGAUGAGGCCAAGACAGCGCGUGAUGCCCAGGAGAAGUUGCGCUCAUCCCUGGCCAGACUCUCUUGCAGAGGAAAAUAUAAUUUUAAUCAGUAUAGGAGUCACGAAAUGCGCGAACGUUUGCUGCAGACUGCCGAAAUGGAGGCGGAGGAUUUGCAGUAAUGCGCCAGCAAUGGAGCACCGUCUGAAGCGAGCUUGACGAAAGCAAGCUGUAUAACAACGUGGAGUUGGAGUCGAUAGACAAAUUCUUUUCGGCUUACCAAAAGAAUGCGGUAUCGGCUACCGAUGGCUCCUAUGAGGAUCUGCGAGCAACUGGCGGCAAGCCAGCCGGGACGCCGAGCCCAGAACUGCACAACCCUGCUCAGACUGCUCAGCAAGAUGAAGAUGAGCUAUAUGGAGAUAUCAAAGUCCAGAUCCAGUCCAAGCAGCAGCAGCAGCCGCUCAAGCUGACCGUGGUCACCCGCC